Long non-coding RNA from Patella vulgata (common limpet), 1071 nucleotides. RefSeq lists it as uncharacterized. NCBI's taxonomy places the organism in Eukaryota, Metazoa, Mollusca, Gastropoda, Patellidae. The transcript is spliced from 3 exons. The record is from RefSeq and is a predicted model, not a curated record.
CUGUAUAAUGUUAGUAUUUCGUUUCCUUAAAAAAAACUCCAACAAUUUAAACCGGAAGUUCAUGUUUAUAAUAUGGCGCGGUCAGGAAAAAAAUUUCGGCAUGUUAUUAUCAAAUCUGUUCAAUUUUUCUGAAAUCAUGCUUAAUUAACAUUAGUUGUUCGGCGCUACGAUGUUGUUCAAAUACUUACAUUACAGAAUCACAUUAUGAUUAAAGCAGAAACGGCUCGACUUGAACCAGCAGGUAAGAAUCUGUUUUGAAAUUAUAUCUUGGGAGGUUGGAUUGGCGUUGGAGACCCGAUUGGCGGCCAUUUUGAUUCUUGUUUCAUGAUUUUUUUUAUAUUAUAACGAUUUUGCCAAGAGUAGACAUAAACGCGGGCACAGACUAGAAAAAAAUCUUUUUACACUUUUGUGUUAGUUGAAUUGUAAUCUAAUUUAUGUUUAAAAAAACAACCUUUAAUCUAAUAAGCAGACAGAAGAUAUGGACGAACAAGAAGAAGAAGUUAUGGAGGUCCCAACAACUGAACCUAUGGAAGUAGAAGAAUCGUUUACAGCCGAAACCCGAUACGAUGUGCCAGUUCCGGUCAUGGAGUCCUCCAUCUCAGACGAUGCCGACGUUAGUGUCUUCUGCGACGAAGAACCCGUAGUGGUGUAUACGCAGGUAGAAGCUGGUUCCUCCCGUGGCAAGUCCAAGUUGUUUGACAACCAAGGGUUUAGUUAUACAAUUAAGACAGAGAAGAAAACUACGAUUUGGAGGUGUUCCAAAAGAAGCGGACCAACACGAUGUCCGGCAACAGUAAUCCAAGAUGGUGAUACAUACCAACCAGGCUUAAAGAACCAUCUUCACCCAGCAGAACCCGGUAUACAAACGGCUACCAAGAUAAAAGUUACAGCAAAGCAUGAAGCCAAAGGAAAUGUUUUUACCAAGUCAUGUUCCUCAAUAGCGGAGAGAGUUUUAUCCAGUGUCGGUUCUGCAGAAGAACCCAUUCAUAGCAGACCACCCAUGGCAGCACUUGUAAGGUCGCUACAAAGAACCCGACAGACUCUGCGACCAAAAGAUCCCACUGACGUGUC